AGAAACUUAGGAUAAUAGACCAAUAGCCUUCAAAGCUUUAAGUAGAAGUUAAAACCUUCUAGUUUCUG
Molecule: transfer RNA, 68 nt
Filed under: Ascaphus truei (coastal tailed frog)
Lineage: Eukaryota; Metazoa; Chordata; Amphibia; Anura; Ascaphidae
Description: transfer RNA-Trp
Rfam family: tRNA
About the family: Transfer RNA (tRNA) molecules are approximately 80 nucleotides in length. Their secondary structure includes four short double-helical elements and three loops (D, anti-codon, and T loops).
Source: RNAcentral